AACCAGCACCUCAAGUGGUCAGGAUGAUUAUUGGGCCUAAAGCAUCCGUAGCCGGCUCUAUAAGUUUUCGGUUAAAUCUGUACGCUUAACGUACAGGCUGCCGGGAAUACUGUGAAGCUAGGGAAUGGGAGAGGUAGACGGUACUCGAUAGGAAGGGGUAAAAUCCUUUGAUCUAUUGAUGACCACCUGUGGCGAAGGCGGUCUACCAGAACAUGUCCGACGGUGAGGGAUGAAAGCUGGGGGAGCAAACCGG
Molecule: ribosomal RNA, 253 nt
Filed under: uncultured archaeon
Lineage: Archaea
Description: partial 16S ribosomal RNA
Rfam family: Archaeal small subunit ribosomal RNA
Source: RNAcentral